Molecule: ribosomal RNA, 1540 nt
Filed under: Staphylococcus aureus SJUD6021
Lineage: Bacteria; Bacillati; Bacillota; Bacilli; Caryophanales; Staphylococcaceae
Also listed under: 2 other names
Description: 16S ribosomal RNA
Rfam family: Bacterial small subunit ribosomal RNA
Source: RNAcentral
AGAGUUUGAUCCUGGCUCAGGAUGAACGCUGGCGGCGUGCCUAAUACAUGCAAGUCGAGCGAACGGACGAGAAGCUUGCUUCUCUGAUGUUAGCGGCGGACGGGUGAGUAACACGUGGAUAACCUACCUAUAAGACUGGGAUAACUUCGGGAAACCGGAGCUAAUACCGGAUAAUAUUUUGAACCGCAUGGUUCAAAAGUGAAAGACGGUCUUGCUGUCACUUAUAGAUGGAUCCGCGCUGCAUUAGCUAGUUGGUAAGGUAACGGCUUACCAAGGCAACGAUGCAUAGCCGACCUGAGAGGGUGAUCGGCCACACUGGAACUGAGACACGGUCCAGACUCCUACGGGAGGCAGCAGUAGGGAAUCUUCCGCAAUGGGCGAAAGCCUGACGGAGCAACGCCGCGUGAGUGAUGAAGGUCUUCGGAUCGUAAAACUCUGUUAUUAGGGAAGAACAUAUGUGUAAGUAACUGUGCACAUCUUGACGGUACCUAAUCAGAAAGCCACGGCUAACUACGUGCCAGCAGCCGCGGUAAUACGUAGGUGGCAAGCGUUAUCCGGAAUUAUUGGGCGUAAAGCGCGCGUAGGCGGUUUUUUAAGUCUGAUGUGAAAGCCCACGGCUCAACCGUGGAGGGUCAUUGGAAACUGGAAAACUUGAGUGCAGAAGAGGAAAGUGGAAUUCCAUGUGUAGCGGUGAAAUGCGCAGAGAUAUGGAGGAACACCAGUGGCGAAGGCGACUUUCUGGUCUGUAACUGACGCUGAUGUGCGAAAGCGUGGGGAUCAAACAGGAUUAGAUACCCUGGUAGUCCACGCCGUAAACGAUGAGUGCUAAGUGUUAGGGGGUUUCCGCCCCUUAGUGCUGCAGCUAACGCAUUAAGCACUCCGCCUGGGGAGUACGACCGCAAGGUUGAAACUCAAAGGAAUUGACGGGGACCCGCACAAGCGGUGGAGCAUGUGGUUUAAUUCGAAGCAACGCGAAGAACCUUACCAAAUCUUGACAUCCUUUGACAACUCUAGAGAUAGAGCCUUCCCCUUCGGGGGACAAAGUGACAGGUGGUGCAUGGUUGUCGUCAGCUCGUGUCGUGAGAUGUUGGGUUAAGUCCCGCAACGAGCGCAACCCUUAAGCUUAGUUGCCAUCAUUAAGUUGGGCACUCUAAGUUGACUGCCGGUGACAAACCGGAGGAAGGUGGGGAUGACGUCAAAUCAUCAUGCCCCUUAUGAUUUGGGCUACACACGUGCUACAAUGGACAAUACAAAGGGCAGCGAAACCGCGAGGUCAAGCAAAUCCCAUAAAGUUGUUCUCAGUUCGGAUUGUAGUCUGCAACUCGACUACAUGAAGCUGGAAUCGCUAGUAAUCGUAGAUCAGCAUGCUACGGUGAAUACGUUCCCGGGUCUUGUACACACCGCCCGUCACACCACGAGAGUUUGUAACACCCGAAGCCGGUGGAGUAACCUUUUAGGAGCUAGCUGUCGAAGGUGGGACAAAUGAUUGGGGUGAAGUCGUAACAAGGUAGCCGUAUCGGAAGGUGCGGCUGGAUCACCU